UUUGGAGUAAGGGAUGGUCAAAACCAUUCCCCUGUCACCAAUCAGGUUGCUGGAGGGUCAGGAAAAGAGAAAACAGGAAGUUGGUGUUUCAGCAGGAAACAAAGUUAGUUAGUUACUGGUUUGGAGGAUCUUUCUGUUGUUUCUGCCCCUUCUGUGGGGUCAGCAGUGGGGGUAGUGAGUGUUUGGCCCCUUGGGUCUGGGAAACCUGCCCCCCAGCAGGAGCUGUCCAGGUAACUCUCCCUCCAGGGCAGAUGGUUCAGUGCUCUCUGCUGCUCUCACCUGCAGCCUCUGCUGUAGGGUGAAAGCUAGUUCUGGUUCUCUGUGGGGAAAAAUAGUUGCCUACUGCCACCCCUGUCCAGCACAGGCGGUGAACUAAGGUCACUCGUGUGAAUUUGGGGUGACGCAAAAUAAAGCACAGACACGAAAUACCUUUACACAAGCUUCAGGACAACUUUCCCCAGCUCCCGGCCUCAAGUUCCCCAAAAGGAGAGCAAGAGAAAGUCACAGAGGCUGGCGAGAGAGAGGACAAGCACAUUCAGAAGUGGGCUUUUAUUUGGGGGGAUGCUGUUUUUGAGAAAGUUCUAUCCAAAAAAGGCAGAAGGCAGCAGGUGAGUAUAACUCAAUCCCAGCGGUACACCUACACCUGAAGCCAUGCCUUGCUAUCUCAGCUGGGACAAUAUGAAAGUCACUAAGAAAUGUAGUAAUUGGUCAGAGCCCCCUGUGUCAGGACUUGAAGGUGUGUUCAUUCAGAGUGGCUCCCCACAGCCUGCAAUUUCACUGGAACAUUUGUAGAAAAGAGUGGAGAUCAGAUGUUCAUAUUUCCAAAUUUCUUCUCUAAAUGUUCAUACCCAAUAAAAAUAUUUCCAUUUUCAGCUCAUCUUUUUUCCCUUCUUCUUCUUUUAGAAGUAGUGAGGAUUUACCCAGGGGUGCUCUACCACUGAGCUACACCUCCAAGGUUGUGGCCUGUGUGAGUCCCUGCUACGGAUGGGGGGAAAAAGGUGAGGCAGUCUCAGGAAGCAGAACCCCUUGGAGAGUAGCUGAUUUCCUGGGGCAGAUGGGCCAGGUAGGCCCUAGGAGGGUAAAGUACAGAUUAGGGACCUGAGUAAGUGUUGGGGGUCAGGGAUUCUGCUGUGUGUGGGCUGCUUCAGGUCAGGUGAGCAGCAGACCAGAGGGGAGGCAUGUUUUCCUGGCUGGGCCUGCUGGUGCCCCUGGGCUUCCUGGUGGGCUUUCCAGUUAGGAGCUUCUGGCUCAGGGCUGAGAGGAAAGGAUGCUGAGCUGCAGCUGGAGCAGACCCUGCUUGGUGAGCACCUGCCCCUGCAGCAGAGGAGGCCUUGGAUAUUAAAGGGGUAAAGGCCUAUGUGUGAACCCUGUGCCCAGGAUUGGCAGGAGCAGGAACUUUCUUCUAUGGCAGGUCCCUAUUCUGUCAGGAAUGGUUGGGCAGAGGAGAGGCACUGGGCUUCACUUUGGGAUCUUGUCUCUUACUUCUUUGGUCUUUCAUUCCCUUGAGUGAUGCAUGGUGGAAACUGAGGCAGGUGAGGCUGCUGGUAGAUUUAGGAGAGGAGGCUGGUGAGGAAAACUAGUGGGGGCAUUUUCUUCUCUCACUCAAACUCUGAAUCUGAUUUUGGAGAGUCUGAGAAAGGAGAGGUCCUGAGGAAUAAAUGUCAUAUUCUGCAGUCAUUUGAACACUGACUUUUAUCUUCUCCCUUAGCUCAGGAGCUCACAAGUCCUGAAUCAUCAGCAGAUGGUGAAGAGGAACCAUAACAGCACCUUGCAGCUUGUGUCAAGCUUCCAGGAUGAUGCUGUGGAGCACAUCUGCCCUGAAGAGUUGGAGCCCUAGUGUGAUGAACUGGAGGAUCACAUUGAUGGACAGGACAGGGUUGGAACUUUGAGGUGUCCUUAUGCUGAGCAAUAGGGGUCAGUUGGCCUGGGGGAAAAAAAAUGACUGGCAGGUGCUUAUGGACUAAGAUGUUGAGAGUAAGCGACCCAGAAUGUGUGUGAAUCAGACACCAGCAUUGGCCACCUUUGGUCCAGCUGAAGCAUGCAGAGUGGUGGGGAAGAAGACACUCCAUUUUGAAGAAUAUGACUUUUUAUCCCUAGGGACAUUUCUCUUCUCAGAGUCUCCAAAAUCAGAUUCAGAGUCUCUGUGAGAGAAGAAAAUGCCCCCGCUAUUCAUCCUCACCACCUCCUCUCCUAGAUCUCUCCUGCAUCUUAGUUGUUCCUGAUUCCUAGUCUUGCAGUCUCCAGGUGCACCUGGCCCAGAGACUCAACAGGGGUGGGCACCCUCUGUCUUCAGCAAGAAUAGGUUCAGGACCCACCUGGAAGCAAGAGCCUGGUGAGGGACCUUGCUUGUGCCUGUGCUUCCUAAGGGAACAAUUGGGAAGCUCGAUAGGUAAUUUAUUCAUGCACAUAUAUAUUUUUUAAAUUUGUUGGUAUUGAGGAUUGAAUCCAAGGCUAUCACAUGCCAGACAAGCAGUCUACCCCAGAGGUACAUCCUCAGCGAUUUUCGCUUUUUGAGAAAUGAUCUCAGUACUGUGCCCAGGUUGAACUCACACUUUCAAUCUGGCCUCAGCCUCCUGAGUAGCUGGAAUUGCAGGUGUGUGCGCCAUACUGAGACCCUCAUACACUAUUAUCCAGAGGUGUGUUUGUUGACAUCAUCGUUCAUAUUUUAAUUUUAGUAUUUAAGUAUUGUAUUUGCUUAUUCUGAAUUAUUAUUUAUUGUUCUGAGUUUUCAUUUUGCAUAAACUUUUUAAAAUUUUAGGGCUGGGGAUGUGGCUCAAGCGGUAGCGUGCUCACCUGGCAUGCAUGAGGCGCUGGGUUCGAUCCUCAGCACCACAUACAAAUAAAGAUGUUGUGUUCACCGAAAACUAAAAAAUAAAUAUUAAAAAAUUCUCUCUCUCUUUCUCUCUCUCUCAAAAAAAAUUAAUUCAAGUUAGUUUUUUCUAAUUAAAGAGUGAACUAUUUAUGUAAGAUUUUUCAUGAAAAGUAAAGACCCUCUUUGUCUCUUCUUGAUUUUCUACCUUCUUUGGUACUACAACUUUCAAUGUUUUAGCUGAUUCUUUUGUUGUUGUUGUUGUUAUUGUUGUUUUUACUAGAGAUUGAACUCCGGGCUAACACAUUCUGGGCAAACGCAUUACCAUGAGCUGCAUCCCCAGCCCUCAACUUUUGCCUCUGUAACCCUAAAUACAAAGCCUUUUUAAGGCUGCUGGUUUUUUCCUUUGCAGGAUCUGUUGCAGAAGUCAGUAGUAAUUGCUCUCUCUUACUCCUUCCCUUCCUCCGUCUUCCAAUGUUUUCAUCUGUAAAUUAUGUUCAGCUCAGAUAUUCCACUUUUGUUUCCAUGACAAUCACUCUCAUAUAUAAACUUCCAUACUUUCCACUUCUGGUACAUCAUUUCACUCCUGGUAUAACAAUCCUUGGGAGUUAAUAAUCACCUUUGUUUUUCUUUUGAUUAUUUUUUGUGCUCCUCUUAAUAAUUUAACAUUGGUAAUGUUGCUAUUUAUAUGACUCAAAAAUGUUCUGACUUUGUUAAUUUUUGUUUCUUAUUUUUAUUUUAUCUUCUUGGAAAUUAAUAUCCAUCCUAGGCCCUUCUGACAUACUUGCAUCUGGACUAGGCUUCUGUAUCUGGAGCAGAAACAUGAUACCAGCUACUUGGGAGGCUAGGGUAGGAGGAUCACAAUUUUGAAGCUAAGCUGGGUAAGUAGUGUAAUUCUGUCUCAAAAACCAGGGAGAGGGCUGGGCUUGUGGCUCAGUGGUAGCGUGCUCGCCUAGCAUGUGUGAGGCCCUGGGUUCGAUCCUCAGCACCAUAUAAAAAUAAAGGCAAUAAAGUCAACCAACAACUAAAAAAAUAUUUAAAAAAAAAGAAAACAGUGAGAGGCAGUGGGCUGGGGAUAUAAUCAGUGAGAGCAUCCCUGGGCUCUAUCCUGAGGAGCAAACAUGCAAGCACACACACAACUAAAUUAGUAUCAGGAUUCACUUUUUUAUUGCAGCAACUCCAAGUUAACUAUUGAAAUGAUUUUGGGGGGCAGUACUGGGUACUGGGGAUUCAACUCAGGGAUGCUUUACCACUGAGAAACAUCUGUAGUCUUUUUGUUUUGAGACAGGGUCUCCUUAAGAUGUUGAGGUUGACUUUGAACUUGCAAUCCUUCUGCCUUAGCAUCCCAAGUCACUGGGAUUACAGGUGGGCACCACUCUACCCAUGAUUAAAAUCAUAUUUAAAUAGAUAAUAACAUACUCUUAAACUAUAAGCACAUGGUGUAUAUCAGAUCUUUAGUAUUUAUCCAUCUUGCAAAAUGGAAACUAUGUCCUUUCAACAAAACCUCCCCAUCCUCUGCCCUGGCAACCAGCAUUCUGUUUGCAGAUUCUAAGAGUGUGACUGCUUUAGACACUUUAUAAGUGGAAUCUUGGAGUAUUUGUGACCUCCUUGCUUCCAUGAGGCCAGAAGUGCACAGUACAAACUGCAGUCUCUGAAUGUGAAAACUUAAAUAUAAUGAGCAUAAUUGGAUUCUAAGGUCGACAAGUGGUGGCACUCAGUAGCCAAAGGCCUUAAGGUGAAUGUGGCUUCUGUAAUGGACACCAGCCAUAGCAACAGUCAGAGUAGUGUGGCUGGUGCCCUGAUGGCAUUAGCUUUAUAUCACUUGUCCUGAUAUUCCUAGAAGUGAAACAGUUACAAAGCCUACUUAUUUCUUACUUCAUGUAUAUAAACUAAACAUUUCUAGGACAAAUGAACACACAUCUACCUUGGUUCAUAAGAACACAGACACAAUCCCUCCAUCAUCUGCCAGACUUGAGCCAGUUUACACACACAGAACCCUGGAAUGAAGGGAAGUCAGCUUCCUUGAGGAAGGAUUCCUUUCAAUGCACUACUGAAAAUUCCUACAGUUCAUCUUACUCCCAGCCUUCAUCAAGGGACCCUAUGUGCUAUUAGUAGGGAAACUGUGCAUUGGGGAAAAGGAAAUAAUCAAAUAUUUUAUUAUUGGACAUUGACUCUAAAUUAACACUCGUUUCCAGAGACACCAAAUAUCACUAUGGCUCCCUGGUCCAAACAGGAACUUAUGGAGAUCAGAAAAUCAAUGGAGUUUUAGCUCAGUUUCUUUUCAAAGUGGACCAAAAUGUUAACCCAUUCUGUGGUUAUCCCACAGUUCCUAAAUGCAUAAUGCAAUAAACCAUUUCAGCAACAGGCAAGGUCUCCAGGUUUACAUAUUGAUGUUAGAAUGGGGGCUGUUGUGGUGGGAAGGCACCACCUUCUAGCAGAAGCUGCUUGAAAUGCCUCUACCUAAGCAAAUAAUACUGCACUCCUGGAUAGACUGCAAAGAUUAGUGCUACCAACAAGGAUCUAAAAAAUACAGGGGUGGUGAUUGCUACCCCAACCCCAUUCAACUCAACUGUCUGACUUCUGCUGCAGAAAGAGGAAUUUGAAGAAUCACAGUGGAUUGUUGUAAUCUUAACAAGGAGCACCCUCCAAUCGCAACUACUAUGUCAGAUGUGGUUUUAUUGCUUGAGCAAAAUAACACAUCCCCUGGAAACUGAUAUGCAGCUAUUAACCUAGAAAACACCUUUUUUUUGGGGGGGGGGAUGCUAAAUAACCAACCCAAGGACUAUUUACCAAUGAGCUACAUGCCCAGCCCUUUUUAUUUUUUAUUUUGACACAAGGGAUCGCUAAGUUGUUGAGGCUGGCCUCAAACCUCAUGAAUUUCUAGAAUUACAGGUGCAUACCACCACACCUGAUUGGAAAAUGGCUUUAUCUCCAUUGUCGUCCAUAAUGCCUACAUUAGCAGUUUGUCUUUAGCUCUCAAGGACAGAAGAUACAUUCAUUCUCUCUCUCUCUCUCUCUCUCUCUCUCUCUCUCUCUCUCUCUCUCUCUCCUCUAUGAUGAAAAAAAAAUUGUAUUUAGAAUUAUCCAGCUGGAUGGAGUUUAAAUGACCCACAUUCUGUUGGCAACAUCCAAAGCAACACAAUUAGGAGCAGUUGAGCAUGUACCUCAGACAGGAUAUUUGGGCUACCUCCAGAGCAGCAAUGAAGGGUCCAUUGGAAGAUGGGUCAUGGGUGGAUCUUUCUUUCUUGGUGCUGCUAGGGAUUAAACCCAGGCUUUCCACAUACUAAGCCUGCAUUCUACCUCUAAGCUACACCCUCAACCCUUGUAUUUAUUUGUUUUGAAUCUCUGGAUGCCUUUCAGUUCUGCUUUCCUGGUCUUCAAAGUCUUGACUUUGGCUUUGGGAAGAACAGGAGUUUUCUUCUUUGCUUUCAGAGAUACUUUAGUGAAGAGGGCACAUUUGCUAUCUCAUUCCAGAAGAUAUCCUAAGACCUGUGUCAUAAUUUGGUUCAGAAGAAUCUUUUUCUUGACAUCGAGUUUUGCUGUGUUACCCAGGCUCACCUUGAACUUGCAAUCCUCCUGCCUUAGCUUCCUGAGUUGGUUGAUUUAUAGGCACAAACUCUCUAACCUAUUAGGGUUUUAAUGGCUUUCCCUUUCAGAAGAAGCCAUGAUUUUCUGUUGUAUUGAUAACAUUAUGCUGAUUGGAUCUAGGGACUGAGAAGUAGUAAGACACUUGCAUGUUACAAGGGAAAAAUAUAUUUGACAAAAUUUAGGGUCUUCUAUCUCAUUAAAAGAGAAAUCCAAUGUUAGGAGUAAUGGAAAGAUAUUCCUUCUAAAGUGAGGGAGGAGUCAUUGCAUCUGGCCCCUCCUAUAAAUAUCAAGGAGGCACAAUGCCUAGUAGGUCUCUGAAUUUUGGAGGCAGAACAUUAUUCAUGUGGCGGUGCUACUCUAGGCCAUUUACGGAGUGAUCUGAAAAGCUCCUACUUUUGAGUUGGGCUCAGAACAAUAGAAAGCUCUACAAUAGCUGCAGGCUGCUGUGCCAGUGGCAGGUAGGAAUGCUGUCUAGAACCUCUAUCAGCCCCACUAUGUGAAUUGAUGUGCAGGUCCCUAAGAUGUUGAGGCAAAACCCUGCUAUAUCCCCAGGUAACUUCUUUCCAUUUGAGAAAUUGAAGUUGGCUUUCCACUAGCAGCCUCUGCCACUGAAACUGAACAGUUAACCUUGGCAACCAAGUUACCAUAUGAUCUGAGCUGUCCAUCAUGUGCUACAUUUAUCUGACUCAACAAGUUGUAAACUUGUGUGUACAUAGGAGCAUUCCAGUGUUACAAGCUCACGGUGUAUAUGAGUUCAGGCCUGAGCAGGCUCUGAAGGCAGAAGUCAAAUACAUGAAGAAGUACCCCAGACAUCCAUGCCUAUCACUGCUGCUCUACUACCUCCUCUCCCAAUCUGUACCUUUGGUCUCAUAUCCCUAUGCCCAAGUGACAGAGAAAGAGAAAUCAUGGUCCUGAUUGACAGAUGGUUCUACAUGAUAUGCAGACAGCAUGCACAAGUGUACAGCUGCCAUACUGCAUUCUGUUCCUGGGACAUCCCUGAAUGACCCUGAUGGAUGGCACCCUCCCAGUGGGCAGAAUUGGAAGCAGGAGAGCUGGCUGUUAACUUGUCUUCUAGAGAAAAAGGCCAAAUGUGUAAUUAUAUAUCAAUUUAUGUGACCAAUGGAUUUGCUAAUGGAUGUCAAGAUCUUGGAAGGAAUAUUAUAGUAAUUUAGUAACAAGGAACUUUGAAGAAACGGGUGAAUUCAGUAGAGGAAGAUUUUAACAGUGAAGUGGACGGGGUACAUAAUUUUAUAGAUUCCAGACAUCCUCUUUCCCCAGCCACUCUUCCUAUUGCCCAAUGGGCUGCUGAUAUAUGCGGUCAUGGUACCAUGGCUGGAGGUUUUGCACGAGCACAGCAACAAGGACUUACUUUUGCUUGCCAAGGCCAAGUUGGUUGUAGUCAGUCUGCCAGCAGCAGGAACAACUCUGAAUCCCCAUAUGGAAUACCAUUUCCCUUGGUGAAUAGAAGCUAUCUGUGGCAAGUCAAUUACACUGGACAGCUACCAUCCCUGAAGCAGCAGUGUUUUCUUCUUGUUGGAAUAGACAAUUACCCUCUAUGGAUUUACCUUCCCUACAGGCGAUGCUUUUGCCAAAAUUUUGUCUGUGGGUUAUAGAAUACCUUUGGCAUCAUCGUGAUGUUCCACAUGGCAUUGCUUCUGAUCAAGGAAGUUACUUCAUAUCCAAAGAAGUAAAGCAAUGGGUUGGUGCUCAUGAAUGUCUUACCAUGCUCCCCACCAUCCUGAAGCAGGUGUCUUGGUAGAAUGGUGGAAGGGCUUUUUGAAGUCAGUUACAGUGCUAACAAGCCUGCACUACCUUGCAAGGCAAGGUCAAGGUUCUCCAUAAGCCUGAAUAUGUUCUGAAUCAUUGUUCAAUAUAUAGUGCUAUUUCUCUCAGGCCAGGAAUCAAAUUGGAAAUGAAGUGGCCACAUGCUCUCUUGCCUCUAAGGACUUACUGGCAAAAUUUAUGCUUCCUGUACCAGUACCUUUGUGUUUUGCUGGCUUGAGGUUUAACAUCCACAGGCAGGAAUACUGCCACCACAAGACACAUUGAACUGAAAGUUAGGCCAAACCAACAGCCAAUCAACAGAGUUACUGUGCUGGCUGAAAUGAUGGAUGCUGACUAUUGAAGGCAAAUUGAACCACUAUCCCACAAUGGAAUGAGGGAAAUGGGUCUGGAGAGCAGUAAUCUCUGUGGCCCUCCUCAAAAUGAAAUUAGCUUUCAGCAUUUUGCAUUUGUACUUGUAUAUAUAUAUGACAGUUUUGACUUGCAUUUUUCUGAAUGCAAUCUUUAUCAUUUUAAAAUUUCAUUUUAAAAAUGUACAGUUAAACAAUGAGUGGUAUUCCUUAUUACAACAUAUUCAUAUAUGUGCACAAUUUAAUUUGGUCAAUUUCAUUUCUUAGUAACUCAUCAUUCUCUUACCUCCACUCUCCCACUAGUCACUUUCCUCUACUGGUCUCCAUUCUAAUUCCAUUACUUUCCCAUCCCUUCUGAGUGUGGCAUUUUGACUUAACAAACUUCUCAAGUUCCAUUCAUUCCCCUGCAAAUGGCAUAAUUCAUUCUUCUUUGUGGCUGAUAAAACACCAUUUUGUGUAUAUACCACUUUUUCUUCAUCCAUUCAUCUGUUGGCAGGCAUCUAGCGUGGCUCCAUAAUUUGUCUAUUGUGAAUUGUGCUGUAAUGAACAGUGAUAUGCAUGUGUUACUAUAGUAUACUCCCUUUAAUUCUUUUGGAUAAAUCAUAAAGAGUAGCAUAACUGAGUAUUAUGUUGGUUCCAUUUCUGGACUUUUGAAUCAGCCUCCAUACUGAUUUCCGUAGUGGUUGUACUAAUUUUCAGUCCCACUGACACUGAAUAAAUCUUUUUUCCACAACCUCAUCAGUAUUAUUAUUAUUUGUAUUCUUGAUGACUAUCAUUCUUACUAGAUUAAGACAAGAUUUCAGUGUAGAAUUGAUUUUUAUUUCCCUGAAUGCAAAUCCCUGUAGCAAAAAUGUUGAACAUUUUUAAAAGCCAUUUGUAUUUCUUCCUUUGAGAAAUAUUUAUUUGGUUCACUUAGCUUUUGGGGGGGUGGUACCAGGGAUUGAACCCAGAGACACUUAAGCACUGAGCCUCAUCCCCAACCGUUUUAAAAUAUUUUAUUUACAGACAGGGUCUCACUGUGUUGCUUAGGAGCUUGAUAAGUUGCUGAGGCUGUGUUUGAACUCACAAUCCUGCCUCAGCAUCAGAGCCAUGGGAUUACUGUCUUGUACCACCAAGCCUGGCUCAUUUAAUGAUUUAUUGAUUUUUUUUAGUUUUUGUGUUUUUUGAUUUCUUUAUAUAUUCUGAGUAUUAUCUUGUUGGAAGAGUAUCUGGCAAAGAUUUUCUCUCAUUCUGUAGGCUCUCUUUUCAUGGUCUGAAUAAUUUCCUUUGCUGUUCAGAACCUUCUUACUUUGAUGUCAUAUAUUUUAUUAAUUCUUGGUAUUAUGUCCUGAGCUCUAGGAAUCCUAAAGACAAAGUCAUUCUCUUUGCUUAUGUGGAAGAGUUUUACCCUGCUUUCUUCUAGCAAUUUCAAAGUUUUUCUUGUAAUUCCUGGGUAUUAUUUCCAUUUCACAUUGACUUUCCAACUGGGUGAGAUAUUGAAAUGUAGUUUCAUUCUUCUACCUUGGAUAUUCGUUUUUCCCAACACCAAUUUUUUAAAAGGCUGUUAUUUCUUUCAUGUAUGUUUUUGAUGCCUUUGUCAAAGAUCAGAUGACAGACAACAUCUGUCUGGAUUUGUCUCUCUGUAUUCUAUUCUGUUGCAUUGAUCUAUGCAUCUAUUCUUAUUUCAGUACCAUGCAGUUUUUGUUACUAUAGCUUUGGAGUAUAAUUUGAAGACAGGUAUUGUGAUGCUUCCAGAAUUUUUUUCUUAGAAUAUUUUUGGGACUGUUUUUGUGGGAGUUUUUUGUUUGUUUGUUUGUUUGCCAUGGAUAAUGUAAUUGAAUUUUGAUGGGAACUGCAUUGAAUCAGUAGAUUGCUUUUUGUAAUAUGGCCAUUUUAGCAAUACUAAUUCUGUGUGUCCAUGAACAUGGGAAAGCUUUUCAUCUUUUACUGGCUUCUCAAUAUUUUUCCUCAGUGUUGUUAAUUUUCAAUGUAGAGAUUCCUUAUUUGGGAUUUUUUAAUGUUGAUACUCAUAGUUAUAAACUUUCCUCUGACAGCUGCCUUCUUAGUCUCCUAGAGAUUGUGAUAUAUUUCUUUUCCGUUGAUGUAAAGAUUUUUAAAAGUUCUCCCCUGAUAUUUUCUAUCACUUGUUAAAAUGUCCAAAGUGUAUUGCUCAAUCUCAGUGUGUUUAUAUAGUUUCUAUAGUUUUUAUUGCUGUGGAUUUGUAUUGAUUACAUUAUGAUCUGAUAAGAUGAAAAUAAUUAUUAUUUUAUUUGCUAAGACUUGUUAUUUGAUGCAAUAUAUGAUCCAUUUUGGAGAAGCUUCCAUGAGCAGCUAAAAGUAACGUGAAUUUGGUUGUUGUUGGCUGAAAUAUUCUAAAGAUAUCUGUGGGGUACAUAUGAAUAAAUUUUUAGGCCUGAAGAAUCUUUUAUGAGUUUAUACCUGAAUGCCCUAUCUAUGUGAAAAUUGUGUUGAAAACACCUAGUAUUAUUAUAAUGCGG
RNAcentral lists this long non-coding RNA (11006 nucleotides) under Marmota monax (woodchuck). Lineage: Eukaryota; Metazoa; Chordata; Mammalia; Rodentia; Sciuridae. The record is from RNAcentral.